UACUUUUGGGUCAAAAUUACAGAUUUAAAAAUGACAAAAGUACUAGUAGCAAAUUGUUCUUUAAAUAUAGGUAUAUAUAGAUACAUAAUUAUGUAAAUACUUUCUCAUUCUACUAUCACAGUGUUAACCUCUUGGCAACAGCCUAAACUAAGACUUGCAGCUGGGAAGGCAUUAGGACCCAGAUCCUUGGCCAACAUUAAUCUUCUUGGCUCCAUUGAAUUUAAUGGAACUGCCCCAACUACUUCAGCUACAUCAAGAUCUGAACCUUGACUGUUUUUUCUCUUGUUGACUCCUUACUUGGUAAUCUGCUGAACCACUGACUUCCUUUUGUUUGUAUGUCAUCAAUUCUGCUUAAUUUAGGGGCGAAAGUAUUAGCAGGUUUUGCUGGAUAGCCUUGGCUCCUGGUGAGCACAGAAGCCUGGUAAAUCAACAGGUCACAUACAAGCAUCCCUACUUGUUCAGAAAGAGAUAAGUGGAGAUGUAGGUGCUGUGUAUUGAUUUGGACUUAAAGAUUUUGUUUUUAUUCCUAGUUUAAUAAUUUCCCUGUAGGGAAAGAAAAUGGAGAAAUACACUCAGGAGAGAGUCCUUGACCUGCGGACUGAACAAGAAAGCAAGUCCAUUGAUACAUUUUGUUUCCUUUCUUUCUCUCUCAGUAAAUAACAAAGCCAGCAACCACCCAGCAAGUUGCAUCAGUAAAAACUGGGCUGAAACCUACAGGACAGAUUGCAAUUGAAACCCAACUGUUUGUACCAAUCACAAUUGAAAUGUUGUUGUUUGGCAACAAGAGCGCAGCUUGAGAAUGGAAAGAUCCGGUCUCCAUGCGCUUGGGGAGACCUUUUCCAAAGGAUAAAGUUACUAAAGUAUAAAAGAGAGAGCAAGAUCAGGCCAUAAUGAAUUCCCAUCUGCUCCCUCCAAUCUGUGCACUUGAUGCAUAUGCCAGUUUGCUGUUCGUUUUGAGGGUACUGGAUUUUUUUCUUCUUCUCUUCCUAGACCUGGAGCAUUUGAAAGUAGGAGCUGAAAGGUAUUGAUUGAAAUCUUUUUAUGGUGACAUUCUUGGCAGCUAGAACCUGUGUUUAGAAAGAAUACAGUAGAUCAUGGCCAGAUUACCUGAUGACUGCUUCCCAGCACUGCAAUGCUAUUAAGUAGGAGCUGGUAAAGUCUUGCAGUAGCCUGUUAAUUAUAAUACAAUAUGGAGAGAAAUGUCAUCUUGUGUAAUGUGAGACCUAUCAAGGCUGGGAAUAUGCAGGCUUUGGAGAGACAGAUUUAAAGAUCUAUUCCCAACAUUGUUCUUAAUGUCCUUGGGUUGUUCCCCCUCCUUCUUUCUUCACCCUAAUGUAGAAGAAACUGGGGCAAAUGAACCGGUGCCAUCCUCUGGACCAUUCUCAUUGUCUUGUGCCUGGUGCAGUCAAAAGUUUGUGUAGGAGAAAAGCAGGAAGAUGCUGGAGGGCAUCGCUUUUAUUCUGUGUGGCUGAUUCUCUGCAGCAAGGGAGGCGGGCGGCCGUGCUUUGUGUCAGGAUGUGCCUGGAAAUUAAGAAUAGAAAAAGGUGGUGGUGAUUUGCUGAGGCAGGAAAGGUCCUUUAAGAACAAGGUGGAAAGGGAAAGGGUCUUGUGCCUUGAGAGUUGUUGGGCUUUCCUGGGCCUCCAGAAAAACACAUGCCCAAGCUAUAGAGAGAGGUUGCCGGCAAAUCCCUUCAGUCUCCGGAGGAAACACUCUGUUCUCCCCUCUGUGGUCAGUGAAAGAACAUUGGGCUGUGGUUUCUUGGAAUAGCUAGCACUAGGGAAAAAGUGUUUAAAAUUUCUGCCUUUGUUUGGGAAAGCACCGGAAUACGGGAAAGGUAGAGAAUCUCUUGUGUAUCCACAGAUCAGUUGGCUGCAAUUACAUCUGCAGUUCAUUAGUGUGCACUUGGGUUCACUGAUGACUCACUGAUGCCUCCAGUAAGGUGUAUUCUGGGGGAGUUUAAAAGAUCGCAUGGAGUGGCCCACUGAUUUUGGACCUGGCUUCAGUUAAGUCCAGCUUCUCGAUCUAAUAGUAGCAGCUGAGGUCUGUAUGUCCUGGUGUCACAGGCAGAGGGAACUGGGGAGGCACUGGGGAGUUAUCUUAGAGAAACUACAUUUUUUGGAGAGGAAGAAACUUGAGGGGUCACAUUGAUUUUUUAUUACCAAUGCCCUUUUCUAAACAUUCACAGAAGACUUUUAUCCUAGAGUUAGGAAAAGAAGAAAGAUUAAAUUCUAGUUAAAAUUUUGAACAAAAUUUUGAAUUAUCACGUACUUUAGCAUUCACUUCCUACUGAAAAUUAUUAGAGAACUUUAUGUAAUGCAGUUUGUUCCUUCAGAAAAGUGAGCAAAAUGGGGCAACAGAGAUUUCUUUGGGUGUUUUUUCUUGCUUGCUCUCUGCAAGAAUUGGAUUUUUAAAAAAAGCUCUUGAGUUUCGUCAAGUUCAUUAGUCAUUCAUAGUGUACUAGGAAUUUCAGUAGCUAAUCCUUGGCCUCUAAAUCCGUUUGUUCUGAGUAUUUGGUGCUGGAAACCAAAUCUGGCUGAUUUUUAUUGGACUCUUUUGAAAUUCUUGGAAUCAGGUUUCCGGUUAGAAACAUGCAUUUGCAAAUUUAGAGUUGGCUUCCUGUGAGCAUUCCCCAUUUUCAUUAAAAAAAAAAAAUCCGUGCACUUCUCUGCCAGUAAACCCUUUUGCUUCUUUUACAUCAAAAAUGGCAAUAUUCUGACUCAGUUUAGAGGAUUACAAGCCUAUUAAUUUAAAGAGAAGUGUGACUGCUUAUUCUGCUCUUGGUGUGAUCCAUAUCCUUGGAGCAAAGGGCAUUAUCUAUAUAUCUGUAGUUAUGACUGAUUAAUUUUACAGCCACCUCUCUUUGUAAUCUGUUAGGAGUGCACAUCAAAAUAGAUUGCAUUUUUCAGUAAAGCCUGCUCUUUACUCAGUAACUUAUGGGAUUAAAAUAAUUUUAUUCUCUUUAAAAAGUGCUUUCAUCUAUAAUGUGAUGUGAAAGGUGUCUAGGCAUUAACCUGUAGUGGUCUGUAGCAGAGAGGAAGAUUUUAAAUGGGUUAAUGGGCCUGAUUUUUAGUGGUACUGGUUUCUACAAUGUUAGGACACAGCUCACAAAGUAGCCAUGUGGACCUAAAGUAUGUUUACUGCAAGGUGAAGAAAUUCUCAAUUGUCAGAGUUUGCAAAUUUCUUUCUGUUUACAAGGGCUUCCCUAAAUUUGUGCUGUCAGGCAGGAGGUCAGUAAUGAAACCCAACCCUUCAAAACUGGGCUUUCAUGGGGCAUUAUUACUGUUGCCCAGGCCCUGGGCUAGCUUGUUCUGAUUUGAAAGAAGCCAGACAACAGACACUCCUUCCUCCAGAGAGAACCUUUGGAGACAACUGCAGCAAAGGUGCUUAUUUCAGCCAAGGGCAGGAGCUACAGUAAUGCAGCUCCUUCACUGGAUAAAUUCCUUUCCUUAACUCUUGCUGUGCUUUUUAACGUAAUGAGGGGGGACGAGGGAGGCUGCCAGAGUCACCUGAAGUCAGUGUGGGAUUUUAGGAAAAGGGUGAUGAAAUUGACUUUUCUGCUAGUAAUCCACAUUUUAGCUUGGCUUAAUAGCAUUUAAAAACAAAAGUGGAUGGCCUGCAGGGGCAACUGGAGAGCUUGAGAAAGUACAUUUAUAUAUAUAUAUAUGGUAUUGUGUAGUUAGAGAUAUGCUUUAUUGUAUAUGUGCCUUUUCCAAAUGCAUUUUGGGAGAUCCUGAUGUCGUUUGUGAUAUCCUACCAGACCCUUUCAGAAUGCACAACAAAAACCAACCCAAAGGAAACAUCCCUCCUCUUGCUCUGCACCCUCUUUGGCAGCUUGACCCAGAGAGAGGACCCUAUUCAGUACUUUGCUGUGAGAUUUCCUGGAGUCACACAGCUUUUAGGAGUGGGAAGGGCUGCAAAUUACCCCAGCAAAGCACAUUCCAGCUAUCCAGCCAGAGCUGGUCUGUAGCUAGUCCCAGGGAGCACAGCAUCCCCAGUACAAUGCCAAGGCUUGCCAUGGCAGCCCCCAGCUGCACCGUGCCCUGCGGAGAGCCAGGGAAGCGUCUCCUGUUUCCUCCCUCUCAGCGCUUUAAGUAAAGCACCUUUGGAAGUGGACUUUGCUCUGCUUUAGAGUUCCCACAUAGGUCUGGGAGCGGACUUUAAAGCACUUGCUUCUUGCUUCAGCCUGGGAAAACAAAUGUGGUGAGUCCUUUGGAAGUGGUUUGCAAGUUUGCCUGUCUCGCUGCUGUCGCCGCAGGAAUUGGCAUAGGGAUGAGAAAAGCUCAUCAGGAGGAGGCAUUCAGGGGGCUCACGAGGUGGAGCACCGCGGUGAUGAGCACAGUGCUGGUUCUGGGACUUUCCCAGCGGGUUGGUGACCUGGUUUCAGGUGCAGUUGUUCCCCCUGCAGGGCUGCAGAGCUGAGUGUGCCAGCACAGCCAAGGCAGGAGGGUCACCGUGGGCGAGGUGGCUGGGCCAGCAGGCUUUGGGCAGACCCUGUGCCCUGCAACAGCCCAGAGCCACCCCCUUGGCAACGCUCUGCUGGGCCCAGGCCAGAGCAGCCAAAGAGGGGUGGUGAGGGGAGCAGUUAGGUAGAAAAGAGCUAGUGUUUCCUUCAUAGUGAGUAGAUUCCUGUAUAUCCAAUUGAUGUGUUCUGAGAUAAAAGCAAAGGAGAACAUCACUGGUUUCCAAUUUAGUUUCUAAUUCGACCUCCUACAACAGCACCUUAAAAGGUGGGUUGUGUCCUUCUCAUACCCAGCUCUGAAAUGUGCAGAGGACGGUCAGGAGGAGGGCUGGGCUCAGGCUUUGCCAUGCUGCAUGCUUAACAGGCCAAGAAAACAGUAAAACCAGUGUCUGUUUAAUUCACCUACCUUCCCAGUUGAUCAUGCAGAUUCCUGGUUCCUGUUCGCUUCCAGCCUUUGGAAAGGUGUUUAUCAGUGUGCACACUUGGGUCCUCAUCUUUGAAGAUAACUUCCCAUGCUAUCUCCUUCUUUACAAACUUCUCCUUUUCAUCUUGGGGCCUAAUUACUCAGUGGACAGAAACAACCAUUUCAACAGAAACCUGCAUAGUUGUAGUAAAACUAAUAUUUUUUUACCGUUGGAAAAGAAAAACACAAAAAAACCCAGUGAUAUUUUAACUAGCAGUAUGUGAAGUAUUUCAACAGAGUGAAAGACAGUGAAGCUAAUCAGCUCAUGUCUUGAGAGAGGAUUGUACCGUGUGGACCCUGUUGGGAGAAAGGGAGCAGCCUGGCCCGGAGCUGGGGCCAGCGCUUCCUUUCCAUAGCGGGUGCUGCUUUAGGCGACUGCACUGCAGCCCAGGAAAACAUUUGAGCACCAUCAGCCUCAUGCCAUCCCUUUGGCUGGAUGUGGACAUGCACAGGAGCCUGGCAGCUGCCCAUGUGUCUGAUCACUCCCAUCAGCCGUGGGUGAUGGUCAGGGUGCAGCACAGCAGCUCUGGGCAGGCCUGGCUGGCGGCGCUGAAGGCGUUCCCUUAUUCCGUGUAGCAGCCUUAAUCCCUGGCCCUGGGCUCGGCGGUACCUGGGCACACACAGCCUCUGUCUCUGUCACCAGGCUGGCUAAAGGAUGGGGGAGCACGGCUCCUUACAGCCACAACGGGGCCACUUUGCAGUAAAUUGGGCCAUUUAGUUUUACCUCAAGUGACAUUGAGUAAGAAAAGCUUCUUUGCAGGGGUGGAGGUCACUGAGUCCCUACUAUGCACUUACUAGGAUUUGACAUUGCUUACUGGAAAUGGAUGUUCAUUCCUGAACACACUGUAACAAGGGAAGGACUUUUUUUGGCUGUUUUUGUAGUCAUUCAGAUUCUGAAACUGUGAUCAAUUAUUUGAUGAAUUGUCAAGUGUCCUCAGAGCUUGAACACAUUCACUUCCUCACCAUGUAGCAGUCUCCUCUGGCUUUCUGUGCUUUUCUCUGUCCCCCUUUUCCUUCUCGGAGCUUUAAGUCUGGGCCUGCUCUUAUCUCCUGUAGCUUUGGGCUGUCUAGGGGUUUGGGGGGGGUGGUUUUGGGGUUGUUUUUUUUUUUUUUUUGUUCAUUGGCUGUACAGUCUGUUUACAUAUUUUUGUACUCAAGUGUAGUUUUUUAUUAAAAACAGAAAAAAGAAAAAAAAGUUCAUUUCAGAAAAAAAAUAAGGUACGUACUCUUUUUAACACUUUAAAGAUCUAGGGUACCUUCGAGAUGACUCUACAGUGAUGUAAUUAUAAUACUGUAUAUUUGCCUUCCUUUUUAGUUGGUUUUAUUUUCUGUUUUAUUUUGGGUUUUUUUUCCUAAAAUAGAUAUCUUUUUAUGAGAAACUGGAAACUUUUAAUGCAAAUGUUUAGAAAGAUUUAAAAUUGUAAAGUUAAAAAAAAAAAGUCAUAUAAUUUUUUUUUCCUGUUGGAAGAAAAUGCUUUAAAAAAAACGUUUUACUACUGUUAUAUUCCAGGGUGGGGGUUACCAACCCCAAAUUUGCUUCUUAUGCUUCAUUCUUGGAUCCUGCUUUCUAAACGUGAUCAUUGCAGACAUGGAUGAUUUGUUUGUAUUAAUUCUAAAAACAAAAAUCACCAAUAUUUGGGUUAUUUUUCUGUUCAAGUGCAAUACUUACCCUGACAUCUUAUUAGUAUACAGUGGUUUCUGUGUUCCUUCCUCAGUCCACACAAAUCACUGAAACAAAAUGCUCUGCCCUAAAUGCAUUUAAAGAUUCAAGUAAACUGAUUGCGACCGACAAAAGAUGAGAAACUGUAAAUUAAGGCUAAAGCCCAUAAUUUACCCCCUGCUUGUCGUUGGCGUUGAAACACAUCCACAUCCAGAAUUAAGGACAUAGCUGUUCUUGACUCUUCCUUCCUCUUCUUUUCUAAUUGCAGCUUUUUUAAGAAAAGCACUUAAUAUUGGUGUUUAUUAAAAA
Taeniopygia guttata (zebra finch) is the source of this 6892-nucleotide long non-coding RNA. NCBI's taxonomy places the organism in Eukaryota, Metazoa, Chordata, Aves, Passeriformes, Estrildidae. The record is from Ensembl.